RNAcentral lists this ribosomal RNA (253 nucleotides) under uncultured bacterium. RNAcentral describes it as "partial 16S ribosomal RNA". It matches the Rfam family "Bacterial small subunit ribosomal RNA", at positions 524 to 776 of the family's 1533-position model. The record is from RNAcentral.
UACAGAGGUCUCAAGCGUUGUUCGGAUUCAUUGGGCGUAAAGGGUGCGUAGGCGGCGCGGUAAGUCGGGUGUGAAAUUUCGAGGCUUAACUUCGAAACUGCAUUCGAUACUGCCGUGCUAGAGGACUGGAGAGGAGACUGGAAUUUACGGUGUAGCGGUGAAAUGCGUAGAUAUCGUAAGGAAGACCAGUGGCGAAGGCGGCAUCCUGGACCGGUAUUGACGCUGAGGAGCGAAAGCCAGGGGAGCAAACGGG